This 253-nucleotide ribosomal RNA is filed under the name uncultured prokaryote. RNAcentral's name for it is "partial 16S ribosomal RNA". It matches the Rfam family "Bacterial small subunit ribosomal RNA", at positions 524 to 776 of the family's 1533-position model. The record is from RNAcentral.
UACGGAGGGUGCAAGCGUUGAUCGGAAUUACUGGGCGUAAAGCGCACGUAGGUGGUUUGUUAAGCCAGCUGUGAAAUCCCCGGGCUCAACCUGGGCACUGCAGUUGGAACUGGCAAGCUAGAGUAGGGUAGAGGGGUGUGGAAUUCCAGGUGUAGCGGUGAAAUGCGUAGAUAUCGGAAGGAACAUCAGUGGCGAAGGCGACACCCUGGACCGAUACUGACACUGAGGCGCGAAAGCGUGGGUAGCGAACAGG